ACGUAGGGAGCAAGCGUUGUCCGGAAUUACUGGGCGUAAAGGGUGCGUAGGCGGCAUGUUAAGUUAGAUGUCAAAUACCCGGGCUUAACCCGGGGACGCAUGUAAAACUGGCGUGCUUGAGUGCAGGUGGGGAAAGCAGAAUUCCUAGUGUAGCGGUGGAAUGCGUAGAGAUCAGGAGGAACACCGAUGGCGAAGGCAGCUUUCUGGGCUGUCAUUGACGCUCAACUGCGAAGGUGUGGGUAUCAAACAG
RNAcentral lists this ribosomal RNA (250 nucleotides) under uncultured prokaryote. RNAcentral describes it as "partial 16S rRNA". It matches the Rfam family "Bacterial small subunit ribosomal RNA", at positions 525 to 775 of the family's 1533-position model. The record is from RNAcentral.